RNAcentral lists this ribosomal RNA (497 nucleotides) under uncultured bacterium. RNAcentral's name for it is "partial 16S ribosomal RNA". It matches the Rfam family "Bacterial small subunit ribosomal RNA", at positions 28 to 507 of the family's 1533-position model. The record is from RNAcentral.
GAUGAACGCUGGCGGCGUGCCUAAUACAUGCAAGUCGAGCGAACAGACGAGGAGCUUGCUCCUCUGACGUUAGCGGCGGACGGGUGAGUAACACGUGGAUAACCUACCUAUAAGACUGGGAUAACUUCGGGAAACCGGAGCUAAUACCGGAUAAUAUAUUGAACCGCAUGGUUCAAUAGUGAAAGACGGUUUUGCUGUCACUUAUAGAUGGAUCCGCGCCGCAUUAGCUAGUUGGUAAGGUAACGGCUUACCAAGGCAACGAUGCGUAGCCGACCUGAGAGGGGGAUAGGCAACCCUGGAAUUGAGCCACGGUCCAGCCUCCUAGGGGAGCCAGCAGUAGGGAAUCUUCCGCAAUGGGCGAAAGCCUAACGGAGCAACGCCGCGUGAGUGAUGAAGGUCUUCGGAUCGUAAAACUCUGUUAUUAGGGAAAAACAAAUGUGUAAGUAACUAUGCACGUCUUGACGGUACCUAAUCAGAAAGCCACGGCUAACUACGUG